RNAcentral lists this ribosomal RNA (460 nucleotides) under uncultured bacterium. RNAcentral describes it as "partial 16S ribosomal RNA". It matches the Rfam family "Bacterial small subunit ribosomal RNA", at positions 338 to 795 of the family's 1533-position model. The record is from RNAcentral.
CCUACGGGUGGCAGCAGUGAGGAAUAUUGGUCAAUGGACGAGAGUCUGAACCAGCCAAGUAGCGUGAAGGAUGACUGCCCUAUGGGUUGUAAACUUCUUUUAUAUGGGAAUAAAAUGUUCCACGUGUGGGAUUUUGUAUGUACCAUAUGAAUAAGGAUCGGCUAACUCCGUGCCAGCAGCCGCGGUAAUACGGAGGAUCCGAGCGUUAUCCGGAUUUAUUGGGUUUAAAGGGAGCGUAGGUGGAUUGUUAAGUCAGUUGUGAAAGUUUGCGGCGCAACCGUAAAAUUGCAGGUGAAACUGGCAGUCUUGAGUACAGUAGAGGUGGGCGGAAUUCGUGGUGUAGCGGUGAAAUGCUUAGAUAUCACGAAGAACUCCGAUUGCGAAGGCAGUUCACUGGACUGCAACUGACACUGAGGCUCGAAAGUGUGGGUAUCAAACAGGAUUAGAUACCCGAGUAGUC